UGGCCUGUAGGAAACGACUUGUGGCAGACGGAGCACUCAUGAAGUCUACCUGUUGGGUUGAGAGCGGAUACAUUAGAAGCGGUGCUUGCGGCGUUGGCGGUGGAUGUCGACGUGGAAGGAUUUCCAUCGUCCGGAGCGAUGGCGGUGGAGUUCUUGCGGUGGCUUGCUUUAUGUCCGCCGAGUGCUUGGUACGUGGGAAAAGCCUUGUUACAGACGCUGCAGCUGUAUGACUGGUUCUGGGUCGUCGGUGGCGAUGGUGGUGGCGGUGGCGGUGUAGAAUUUUCUGUUUGCUUCUUAAUAUCGUCUAUGGCCGUUGUGUCAGAGGGACUGCUUGUAUUAUCCGAGGGACUGGCGGUGGCUCCACCGCGGUCUCCGCCGCUGCGAGCAAGCAUGAUGAGACAGAGGGCCAAAUAUUCUUCAUCUGUUGGUGGGUUUUCACUUUCACUGCGGGCACGCUUUGAGCGCUUUCUUUUUGUCCAGGAAUCAAGAUUCCGCUCAGCAUCUUCAUACCCAAGUCCCGGUGCCGUCGAAUUCAGAG
RNAcentral lists this long non-coding RNA (538 nucleotides) under Olea europaea (common olive). Its description in RNAcentral is "long non-coding RNA (OEUR_LNC001856)". The record is from RNAcentral. Lineage: Eukaryota; Viridiplantae; Streptophyta; Magnoliopsida; Lamiales; Oleaceae.